AUUGAACGCUGGCGGCAGGCCUAACACAUGCAAGUCGAACGGUAACAGGAAGAAGCUUGCUUCUUUGCUGACGAGUGGCGGACGGGUGAGUAAUGUCUGGGAAACUGCCUGAUGGAGGGGGAUAACUACUGGAAACGGUAGCUAAUACCGCAUAACGUCGCAAGACCAAAGAGGGGGACCUUCGGGCCUCUUGCCAUCGGAUGUGCCCAGAUGGGAUUAGCUAGUUGGUGGGGUAACGGCUCACCAAGGCGACGAUCCCUAGCUGGUCUGAGAGGAUGACCGGCCACACUGGAACUGAGACACGGUCCAGACUCCUACGGGAGGCGGCAGUGGGGAAUAUUGCACAAUGGGCGCAAGCCUGAUGCAGCCAUGCCGCGUGUAUGAAGAAGGCCUUCGGGUUGUAAAGUACUUUCAGCGGGGAGGAAGGGAGUAAAGUUAAUACCUUUGCUCAUUGACGUUACCCGCAGAAGAAGCACCGGCUAACUCCGUGCCAGCAGCCGCCGUAA
This 506-nucleotide ribosomal RNA is filed under the name uncultured bacterium. RNAcentral's name for it is "partial 16S ribosomal RNA". It matches the Rfam family "Bacterial small subunit ribosomal RNA", at positions 30 to 523 of the family's 1533-position model. The record is from RNAcentral.